CAGUAGCCGCGGUAAGACAGAGGAUGCAAGCGUUAUCCAAAAUGAUUGGGUGUAAAGCGUCUGUAGGUGGCUUUUCAAGUCCGCCGUCAAAUCCCAGGGCUCAACCCUGGACAGGCGGUGGAGACUACCAAGCUGGAGUACGGUAGGGGCAGAGGGAAUUUCCGGUGUAGCGGUGAAAUGCGUAGAUAUCGGAAGGAACACCUGUGGCGAAAGCGGCUCACUGGACCAUUUCUGACGCUGAUGCACGAAAGCUAGGGGAGCAAACAGGAUUAGAUACCCGGGUAGUCCCUGUCUCUUAUAC
This 301-nucleotide ribosomal RNA is filed under the name uncultured bacterium. Its description in RNAcentral is "partial 16S ribosomal RNA". It matches the Rfam family "Bacterial small subunit ribosomal RNA", at positions 509 to 807 of the family's 1533-position model. The record is from RNAcentral.